Molecule: ribosomal RNA, 429 nt
Filed under: Verrucomicrobiota bacterium
Lineage: Bacteria; Pseudomonadati; Verrucomicrobiota
Description: Verrucomicrobia bacterium partial 16S ribosomal RNA
Rfam family: Bacterial small subunit ribosomal RNA
Source: RNAcentral
UGGGGAAUCUUCCGCAAUGGGCGAAAGCCUGACGGAGCAACGCCGCGUGAGUGAAGACGGCCUUCGGGUUGUAAAACUCUGUGAUUCGGGACGAAAGAUAAGCAGACGAAUAAUCUGCAUAAGUGACGGUACCGAAAAAGCAAGCCACGGCUAACUACGUGCCAGCAGCCGCGGUAAUACGUAGGUGGCAAGCGUUGUCCGGAAUUAUUGGGCGUAAAGCGCGCGCAGGCGGCUACUUAAGUCCAUCUUAAAAGUGCGGGGCUUAACCCCGUGAUGGGAUGGAAACUGAGAAGCUGGAGUGUCGGAGAGGAAAGUGGAAUUCCUAGUGUAGCGGUAAAAUGCGUAGAUAUUAGGAGGAACACCGGUGGCGAAGGCGGCUAUCUGGACAGUAACUGACGCUGAGGCGCGAAAGCGUGGGGAGCAAACAGG